GCCGAUACAGCUCAGUUGGCAGAGCAGCCCUUUUGUAAAGGGAAGGCUGCAGGUUCAAGUCCUGCUGUCGGCUCCA
This 76-nucleotide transfer RNA is filed under the name Rhizobium sp. 11515TR. Its description in RNAcentral is "tRNA-Thr". It matches the Rfam family "tRNA". From Rfam's summary of the family: Transfer RNA (tRNA) molecules are approximately 80 nucleotides in length. The record is from RNAcentral. Lineage: Bacteria; Pseudomonadati; Pseudomonadota; Alphaproteobacteria; Hyphomicrobiales; Rhizobiaceae.